UACGAAGGGGGCUAGCGUUGCUCGGAAUCACUGGGCGUAAAGCGCACGUAGGCGGAUCGUUAAGUCAGGGGUGAAAUCCUGGAGCUCAACUCCAGAACUGCCUUUGAUACUGGCGAUCUUGAGUUCGGGAGAGGUGAGUGGAACUGCGAGUGUAGAGGUGAAAUUCGUAGAUAUUCGCAAGAACACCAGUGGCGAAGGCGGCUCACUGGCCCGAUACUGACGCUGAGGCACGAAAGCGUGGGGAUCAAACAGG
Molecule: ribosomal RNA, 253 nt
Filed under: uncultured bacterium
Lineage: Bacteria
Description: partial 16S ribosomal RNA
Rfam family: Bacterial small subunit ribosomal RNA
Source: RNAcentral